GUCCUUUUGUUAAAAAUAAUUUAAGGUCUAACCUGCCCAUUGAUUAAAUUAAAAGGCCGCAGUAAUUUGACUGUGCAAAGGUAGCAUAAUCAUUAGUUUUUUAAUUAAAAGCUUGUAUGAAUGGUUGGACGAGAUAAAAUCUGUCUCUUUAUAAAAAAUAGAAUUUAAUUUUUAAGUUAAAAAGCUUAAAUUUAAAUAAAAGACGAGAAGACCCUAUAGAUCUUUAUAUAAUUUUUUUUAAUAUUAAUAAAGUAAAUUUUAUUUAUUAAUAAAUUUUAUAUUUUAUUGGGGUAAUAUAAAGAUUAAAUUAAUUCUUUAAAAUUUAACAAAAAUUAUUGGUUAUAUGAUCCAUUAUUAAUGAUUAUAAGAUUAAGUUACCUUAGGGAUAACAGCGUAAUUUUUUUAGAGAGUUCUUAUCAAUAAAAAAGUUUGCGA
This 435-nucleotide ribosomal RNA is filed under the name Hydroporus tessellatus. Its description in RNAcentral is "partial 16S ribosomal RNA". The stretch from base 1 to 147 matches the Rfam family "Bacterial large subunit ribosomal RNA", at positions 1825 to 2022 of the family's 2925-position model. The record is from RNAcentral. Lineage: Eukaryota; Metazoa; Arthropoda; Insecta; Coleoptera; Dytiscidae.